AGAGUGGUAUCAGAGCCCUAGGUUCAUAUGGUCGGACCUAGCGUGUCGGGCUCAUAGAUGUUAUAGAAGGUCAAGCACAAUAGGAAAAGUCAUGUCCACUAGGAUAGGAUGUAGAGUCCUGUCUUGAUGAUGAUGUGAUAUGCCAUGACUAUAUGCAUGUGCAUAAAUGAUAUGCUAUGUUUGCUAUGUAUGUGAUGAGGGUUCAUGUGUGCCCACAUGAACCAUGUGAUGCUAAUGCUUGUGGGUUAUGUGCUGGUUUUUCAGAGAAAACAGGAUGAGAGGAACUCGUCGAUCUGCACGAUUGACAGGAGUCCCACCAGAGGAUGAGGGCAC
Molecule: long non-coding RNA, 333 nt
Filed under: Manihot esculenta (cassava)
Lineage: Eukaryota; Viridiplantae; Streptophyta; Magnoliopsida; Malpighiales; Euphorbiaceae
Description: long non-coding RNA (MESC_LNC011002)
Source: RNAcentral